CUGCCGUGCGCCCGUUCUGCUGUUUGAUACAUAACAUAAUACAGUUUCUAUUAUUAUUAUUAUUAUUAUUAUUAUUCUUUCUUCUGUGUCCCUUAGUUCCUUUAUUUUAAUAUUUUCCAUUCGCUGGAAUACGGGUAACCCGCACAAAAUACUUAACGCUUAGCACUCAACAAAUCCUGUUCCCUCAAAAGUGUAAAAUUUUUUUAAUCAACAUCACUUUUGGGUGACGAAAUCAAUUUUAAUGUCAGAACUACAGUCGGCGCUAUUAUUAAAAAAACAACUGACUGAAUUGCACAAGAACCCAGUAGAAGGGUUCUCUGCUGGUCUCAUAGACGAUAAUGAUAUUUACAAAUGGGAAGUGCUCAUUAUUGGACCUCCAGACACCUUGUAUGAAGGAGGAUUUUUCAAGGCUCAUGUUAAUUUUCCUAAAGAGUAUCCAUUGAGGCCACCAAAAAUGAAAUUUGUUACUGAAAUUUGGCACCCUAAUAUUGAUAAAAGUGGUGACGUUUGUAUAUCAAUACUUCAUGAACCUGGUGAUGAUAAGUGGGGUUAUGAAAAAGCAAGUGAACGUUGGUUACCAGUGCAUACUGUUGAGACUAUAUUGAUAUCAGUUAUUUCAAUGUUGGCUGAUCCUAAUGAUGAAAGUCCAGCUAAUGUAGAUGCAGCUAAAGAUUGGCGUGACAAUUAUCCAGAAUUCAAACGCAAGGUUGCACGUUGUGUGCGUAAGAGUCAAGAAGAUAUCUAAUAACAAAUUUGCCAGUUGCUCUACUCACAUGUUACCAACGUAUAAAUCAAUUAUUGAUGCCAGGGUAGCAAAUGUAGAACAACCAACAACAUUUUAUAUAAUGUGAUUUUUAAAUGUAAGUUUUUUUUUUAAAACAUCUAAUAAAAUAAGAUGUUCCAUAUUUUAAAUAUUUGUAUCUUAAAAAUAUCCUAUGAACCUUACUUAGUACAAUAAAAUAUUUUAUAAGGUUAUCUAUUAACUUGAACAAAUAUAUAAUACUUUACAGAA
This 1012-nucleotide unclassified non-coding RNA is filed under the name Diuraphis noxia (Russian wheat aphid). RNAcentral describes it as "ubiquitin-conjugating enzyme E2 G1, transcript variant X1". Lineage: Eukaryota; Metazoa; Arthropoda; Insecta; Hemiptera; Aphididae. The record is from RNAcentral.